RNAcentral lists this long non-coding RNA (268 nucleotides) under Nicotiana benthamiana. RNAcentral's name for it is "long non-coding RNA (NBEN_LNC035577)". The record is from RNAcentral. Lineage: Eukaryota; Viridiplantae; Streptophyta; Magnoliopsida; Solanales; Solanaceae.
AUCCUCUAUUUAUAGUACUACAUAGAGGUAUACUAAAAGAAUUCCAUAAAUAUGUCAUUAAGCUUUUGAGAUCAUGGAGGAAGAUCAUGGGGGAGAUGUGUGGGAGUUACAACCAUAACUAUUGGAGUAGUGGGAGUUAUGGAGAUAAUGGAUAAAAGUAGUGGGCGUUAUAGGAGUUAUGGACAUCCACCAUAAUCUAAUAUUUCAUAACACUCCCCCUUGGAUGUCCAAAGAUAAUGUGCCCCGUUAAAACCUUAACUAAAAUAAA